Molecule: ribosomal RNA, 253 nt
Filed under: uncultured bacterium
Lineage: Bacteria
Description: partial 16S ribosomal RNA
Rfam family: Bacterial small subunit ribosomal RNA
Source: RNAcentral
UACGUAGGGGGCUAGCGUUGUCCGGAUUUAUUGGGCGUAAAGAGCGUGUAGGCGGCCAGGUAGGUCAGCUGUGAAAACUGGAGGCUCAACCUUCAGACGUCGGCUGAAACCAUCUGGCUAGAGUCCGGGAGAGGAGAGUGGAAUUCCUGGUGUAGCGGUGAAAUGCGCAGAUAUCAGGAGGAACACCGGUGGCGAAGGCGGGUCUCUGGGCAACAACUGACGCUGAGGAGCGAAAGCGUGGGGAGCGAACAGG